AAAGUUGCAAGUAGGAAAAUAGGAAAUCUUAUUUAGACGGUUGCUAGGAAGAGGAAGUAGAUUUAGCUUGUGUGUCUUUGACAAACAGGAAACAGAUUGACAACGCACACACAUAUUGAGGAACUUCAAACCUGAAGACAUAAGGGCAAAUAUGACACUUGUGCUGCAUGUACACAAAUAAGGUAUAGAACAUAAAUUGGACCAAUGGCACACUUGCUUAGGCUACCUCAACCCCCCCAUUAUUAGGUGUGUUUGAAGUAUAAAUAAUGCUGUUAUGAUGAUACAUGUUCAGACAUUGUGCGGCGACACUUGUCUCCAAAAGCUUUUGUAAUAAACGGAAUAUGCGGUACGAUAAUUGACCUGACUCCUGGUGUUUUAUUCUCCUUUCCAACAAACCAACUCGGGGAAGUGUUAGACUUCAACAGAACUAACCAAGAAGUGUUUUGGCAAACUACUACGCUCUCCCCGCUACCAUGGUAACAGUUAGGGUGGGCAUGGGCAAAGGAGCAGCAGCUAUUGAAUAUGCAAUGAGCAGCAGAAAACAGAAAACUUUGAAAGGGACUGAAACAAAGGGUAAUAGAUGGAGAAAUCAAGACUCAUCAGACCAGGCAUCAUUCUUCCAGUCUUCAACUGUCCAGUUUUGGUGAGCUCGUGCAAAUCGUAGCCUCUUUUUCCUAUUUGUAGUGGAGAUGAGUGAUACCCUGUGGGGUCUUCUGCUGUUGUAGCCCAUCCGCCUCAAGGUUGUGCGUGUUGUGGCUUCACAAAUGCUUUGCUGCAUACCUCGGUUGUAACAAGUGGUUAUUUCAGUCAAAGUUGCUCUUCUAUCAGCUUGAAUCAGUCGGCCCAUUCUCCUCUGACCUCUAGCAUCAACAAGGCAUUUUCGCCCACAGGACUGCCGCAUACUGGAUGUUUUACCCUUUUCACACCAUUCUUUGUAAACCCUAGAAAUGUUUGUGCGUGAAAAUCCCAGUAACUGAGCAGAUUGUGAAAUACUCAGACCGGCCCGUCUGGCACUAACAACCAUGCCACGCUCAAAAUUGCUUAAAUCACCUUUCUUUCCCAUUCUGACAUUCAGUUAGGAGUUCAGGAGAUUGUCUUGACCAGGACCACACCCCUAAAUGCAUUGAAGCAACUGCCAUGUGAUUGGUUGAUUAGAUAAUUGCAUUAAUGAGAAAUUUAAUAGGUGUUCCUAAUAAUCCUUUAGGUGAGUGUAUGCUGCCUCUGGAUGAUGCCAUCUGGAAUCACAAUGUCAGUUUUCACUGUUAUGCUGAUAACACACAGUUAUAUAUUUCGAUGAAACAUGGAGAAGCCCCA
Molecule: long non-coding RNA, 1314 nt
Organism: Esox lucius (northern pike)
Lineage: Eukaryota; Metazoa; Chordata; Actinopteri; Esociformes; Esocidae
Source: Ensembl